RNAcentral lists this ribosomal RNA (874 nucleotides) under Pseudomonas sp. NT5I1.2B. RNAcentral's name for it is "bacterial SSU rRNA". It matches the Rfam family "Bacterial small subunit ribosomal RNA", at positions 29 to 886 of the family's 1533-position model. Lineage: Bacteria; Pseudomonadati; Pseudomonadota; Gammaproteobacteria; Pseudomonadales; Pseudomonadaceae. The record is from RNAcentral.
AUGAACGCUGGCGGCAGGCCUAACACAUGCAAGUACGUAGACCGAGGAGUGGUAAGCACGAAGCUUGCUCUCUGAUUCAGCGGCGGACGGGUGAGUAAUGCCUAGGAAUCUGCCUGAUAGUGGGGGACAACGUUUCGAAAGGAACGCUAAUACCGCAUACGUCCUACGGGAGAAAGUGGGGGAUCUUCGGACCUCACGCUAUCAGAUGAGCCUAGGUCGGAUUAGCUAGUUGGUGGGGUAAUGGCCCACCAAGGCGACGAUCCGUAACUGGUCUGAGAGGAUGAUCAGUCACACUGGAACUGAGACACGGUCCAGACUCCUACGGGAGGCAGCAGUGGGGAAUAUUGGACAAUGGGCGAAAGCCUGAUCCAGCCAUGCCGCGUGUGUGAAGAAGGUCUUCGGAUUGUAAAGCACUUUAAGUUGGGAGGAAGGGCAGUAAAUUAAUACUUUGCUGUUUUGACGUUACCGACAGAAUAAGCACCGGCUAACUCUGUGCCAGCAGCCGCGGUAAUACAGAGGGUGCAAGCGUUAAUCGGAAUUACUGGGCGUAAAGCGCGCGUAGGUGGUUUGUUAAGUUGAAUGUGAAAGCCCCGGGCUCAACCUGGGAACUGCAUCCAAAACUGGCAAGCUAGAGUACGGUAGAGGGUGGUGGAAUUUCCUGUGUAGCGGUGAAAUGCGUAGAUAUAGGAAGGAACACCAGUGGCGAAGGCGACCACCUGGACUGAUACUGACACUGAGGUGCGAAAGCGUGGGGAGCAAACAGGAUUAGAUACCCUGGUAGUCCACGCCGUAAACGAUGUCAACUAGCCGUUGGAAUCCUUGAGAUUUUAGUGGCGCAGCUAACGCAUUAAGUUGACCGCCUGGGGAGUACGGC